This 72-nucleotide transfer RNA is filed under the name Camelus bactrianus (Bactrian camel). It matches the Rfam family "tRNA". From Rfam's summary of the family: Transfer RNA (tRNA) molecules are approximately 80 nucleotides in length. Their secondary structure includes four short double-helical elements and three loops (D, anti-codon, and T loops). Further hydrogen bonds mediate the characteristic L-shaped molecular structure. tRNAs have two regions of fundamental functional importance: the anti-codon, which is responsible for specific mRNA codon recognition, and the 3' end, to which the tRNAs corresponding amino acid is attached (by aminoacyl-tRNA synthetases). tRNAs cope with the degeneracy of the genetic code in two manners: having more than one tRNA (with a specific anti-codon) for a particular amino acid; and 'wobble' base-pairing, i.e. permitting non-standard base-pairing at the 3rd anti-codon position. Lineage: Eukaryota; Metazoa; Chordata; Mammalia; Artiodactyla; Camelidae. The record is from Rfam by way of RNAcentral. RNAcentral also lists the same sequence under 1 other name.
GUGGGUGUAGCUCAGUGGUAGAGUGUGUGCUUAGCACGCACGAGGUCCUGGGUUCAAUCCCCAGUACCCCCA